UUUUCCUAGCUCUUUUACAUUCGGUUAAAGAUUACCGGGAACAGUUUUUAAAGUUAUUCUAUGCGCCGCUGGAUGAUCAGGUGGAUGAAGUGAAAGUUUAGGGAAAUACGUUUUCCUUGAGCUGUACGACAGUAAUACAAGUGUUACGACAGUAAUAGUUCGGUUUAGAUUAUUUUUAGGUGACUAUUCUCGUUAAACGCCAAAAUUAUCCUAUACUAAAAAAGAUAACUGCAUGUAUCGUUCUAAUUUAUACCUACUAUCGUUGAGUCAUAGGUGAUUGCAACUGUUCGAAUUGAGUUAUUAUUGAAUUGGAUCCUAACCUAAUUAGGUUUAACCCUUUCGGCACUAAAGGUGACUAUUGUCAUGAAACGUGAGUCUCGUCGUACAUUAAAUGUAACUAUAUAUCUUUUUCAUUUACAGAUAGCAUCGUUGCUUCGUAAGUGACUAUUACACUUUGAAUAAGGUUAUGUUAUAUUUAAUCCUUUCUACUUGCUAUUAAAGGUGACUACGUAUAGUUAGAGAAUAGCGAGCUCGUGGUAAACUAAAGAUAACUACAACUAUUCAACGAGUGUUCACUAUAUGUUAAAGAUGACUAUAAUCGACUAACAUUGAACGCUCGUUAUAACCACGUAUGAAUAUAGUUACACGAAGUUGAACUCUUUCCAUAGUAAAAUAUAACAGGAUGAUUAUGAACGAAGACACUUAUACGACAUCUUGAAAGAUAAGUUAACAACUCUGGUUGAACACAGCAUAGUAUGCUAUUUUCUCAUUUGCUUUCUUUUGCUCAAUUUGCAUUCUUACGCAAUAUGUUUACACCAACAUAAAAUAUAGUCUCAUGACUCAGUUGUCUCGUGAAUGUAGCGAAAGGAUUAAAGUGUUUCAUGUCAAUAAAGUAUUUCAGUAUUUUUGUACGAUAUA
Long non-coding RNA from Bombus huntii, 918 nucleotides. RefSeq lists it as uncharacterized. The record is from RefSeq and is a predicted model, not a curated record. Lineage: Eukaryota; Metazoa; Arthropoda; Insecta; Hymenoptera; Apidae. The transcript has 2 exons.